Molecule: long non-coding RNA, 1081 nt
Organism: Choloepus didactylus (southern two-toed sloth)
Lineage: Eukaryota; Metazoa; Chordata; Mammalia; Pilosa; Megalonychidae
Exons: 4
Source: RefSeq, a predicted model, not a curated record
GUUUAAAACUUUCAUAUAGUUCAUACAGUAGACAUUCUUCAAAACGACUACUCCCAAGUGCCAAAUGUUGUAUUCUUUCUCCUAACCUGCAUCAUUGCUCUAAUGAUGCUUUAAUACCACCCUCCCCGUGAUACACAUACAGGAUCUCUCUCUUCAUAUACAUCACAAUUCAAAAUGAAGAAGUUGAGUUUUCCCCAAAGUAAGGGACUUCUUUUGAAAUACCUGCUCCUUAGGAAAGCCGUAAGCAAAACUGUUCAAUAUAAGAAAUCUUGCUAAUUUUACUUUAUGUACUGUCUAUAAAUAUAAGAAUAGCUAAUGUGUUCUUAAAACUAGAUAGAUGCAAACUGCAUCAGAUCAUGUACAUGCAUCCUCUACUGCUUUUUACUCACACAAAUAAUUUACAAAACAGUGAUAAAUCAGUCCCCUUUCCAUAUAUGAAAACUGAGCAUGGUAGAAAUUGAUUCCUUGUCUCAGGUACAGAACUAUUGAGUUGCUCUGUUGAAAUCCUUGCCUAUACAUUUAUGAAUCUUUCUGGUUUGUCUCAGGACAAGAUGACAAUUAGAUUGGCACAUUUUGUAAAACAGCUGGCCAACUGACUGAAAAGAAAUCUGUAUCAAAAUAUGUCACCUUAACUAAGCAGGAAAUUUAAUUAAAAAGGCAUCAAACAUUCCCAUUUUGUUAGGGAUUUUGGAGAGCCUCCUAAUCUGAUGCCUUUUCCCAUUCCCUGCCCCACCCACAACAAUCAUGGAAACAAUCCAAAUCUAUAAUGACUUCAGAAUGACAUUUGGAAGUCACUGAAUGGAGAAAAAAGAAAACCUAAUCCUGCGAAAGGGUGAGACCACGGGGUGUGCCCACAGAGAAUGUGUGUGCCCACGUAGGAGAGAGAGCCACUUGCAAAUGGAUCUUUCCAUUUGGAAUCUGACUGUGGAAAUGACUACUGAAACAUGAGGGAUGAUUCCAUCCUUCCUGUCCAUAGCGAUUGUCAUCAAAGAAGGAGCCCUUAAGAGUGGAGGCUAAAGAGGAAAUCAAAGAGAUCGACACGCCAUCCUGGCUUUGAAGAUGGAGGGAGCCACGAGCCAAG